RNAcentral lists this unclassified non-coding RNA (197 nucleotides) under plant metagenome. RNAcentral describes it as "partial contains small subunit ribosomal RNA, internal transcribed spacer 1, and 5.8S ribosomal RNA". The record is from RNAcentral.
UCUCCGUUGGUGAACCAGCGGAGGGAUCAUUACCGAGUGCAAACUCAUAACCCUUUGUGAACCUAUAUCUGUUGCUUCGGCGGCUCGCUCUCGGGCGAGCCCGCCGGUAAUAUCAGUAUCUCUGUUUGAACCCGACGAUACUUCUGAGUGUUCUUAGCGAACAGUCAAAACUUUUAACAACGGAUCUCUUGGCUCUA